GUGUGUGUGUGUGUGUGUGUGUGCGUGUGUGUGUCUGGUCAGAGCCGUCCAGUGUGUGUGUGUGCUUGUGUGUGUCUGGUCAGAGCCGUCCAGUGUGUGUGUGUCCCGUGUGUCUAGGAGCUGCUCACCACAGCCUCUAACGAACACUGAAGCCUUGUCAGGAAGACACAAAUCACAGGGCCAGCUCCAGCUCUCAUAAUGCGAUUUUACUGGGCAAAAUGACACUGCUGAUUCAAGGUGACUCUCCUAAUCCCUUUUGGCUCAUUGGAUGACUCCUGUGGUUAUGAGCACACCCCUUCCCACAUGGACUGAUCAUAUUUUGAUACCUCCAUUUACACCGGUGGCGCCGAAGACGUCCUAAAGGCGGCUUAUUCAAAAUCUUUGUUUGCUUUUUCCAAAUGGAAUUGCUCACUGGAUCAUUGCUGAAGUGCACAUUGCAAGAGUUUAACUUGCCAUUAGUUGUAUGGUUAGUUGGACUUGUAAUAAUAUGUACUGCAUUGGAUUGCUAUCCAUAAAUCUAUGAUAAAUAUUGAAGGAUUUCUCAAAACAAUUCUUCAUGAGGGCGGAACAUUGUAGCUUUUUAUUAUGCAAGGCACUUAUACAGCUACUGCAUUUUUUUUAUGAAUUCAAUAAUAACACCCUGUAAGUAGCGUAGGAGUUCAUUUGGUGUCACUAAACUGAUUUGACCGCUAUUUACCGUUCCAGGAUCAGGUCAUGUUAGCCAUCACACAUAAUUUUUUACUUAAAAUGAGUAAUGCACAUAUCCACAGAUGUAAAGGAGGGAACAUCCUGCCUUUCAGGGAAUCGUUAGAAUGUGUGGUGAGGUCUGUUUUCUGUGGUGAUGAAGCUCAGAAGAUAUCUGAGACAACCAGCCUCACUGACAAGAGCAAUGGCAGCAUUCACAAUCAAACUGGGUAACUUCUUCCAAGGAAACCAAUCUAUUAUUCAAUUACAUCACUGGUCAUUUAGCUGACGCUUUUAUCCAAAGCGACUUACAUUUGCAUUUUUAACCUGCGGCUUUAGGCCACUAAUUAGGGGUUGGGUGUCUUGCUCAAGGACACUUCGGCAUGGGACAUGGAGCAGCCAGGACUCAAACCCCCAACCUUGCGGUUCCCAGUGCACCCUCUCUACUCUACGCGCCACGGUCGACCCCCAAUCGAUUCAAUGAUGUCGGCAAGCCACUCCUUUCCUGCACACUCAAAUAUUUCUACUGAUAACAAACCGACAUUGUGACCAGUAUAUGUUUAACAUAAGAAAGCUGCAUCCAUUGCCUUGCAGGACAGUUGAUGUAGUGCGUUGCCAUGACCCAUGUGAAGAUGGCUGAAAAUAGGCCUUGCUCUGGCAAAACUCCUGCCUUUAUGAUGGAUAGUGCCGCUGUUUUCCUUCAACCUCUUUGGAAUACUAAAAAAACACAGGAUCAAGUAUCACUUGGUCCCUAAUGCAUGAAUGAACAUAGAGACAAAUGAGGAGAUUAGACGGAUGUUUUGACCUCGCAUUCCACUCAGGAGAAUUGAUUUAAAUGUGUUCUGUUAAUAUCCAGUUUGUUUGACCAGCUCAGCCCAUUUCAACGCAUAGUCAUAAUGCUAUUAAUGACUAGUUUAAAUAAAAAAACAUGGAUAAUGACAGUGGUGACACCCUCAACCUGACAAUGUUUAAAUUAAUUAAAUUAAUUUUAGCCUAAGGAGUUCCUACAAGCUGCACACUUUGUCAAUAUGAUGCAUUUCUUUGUGGUUGAACACAUUGGUAUGGACAAGCAGGUUGUCAGAAUAGGAAGAAAGCGAUCAAUGCAGGUCCUAGAAUUUCAGGUUGCUUGACCCAUAAAUGCUAGAGGAGACACAUACUAUAUAUUUUUUACGAGAGGUUGAAGGGAAAUCAAUAAUGUCUUUUUGGCUGAGUGCAGUGCUGUAGCCCAUAAGUUGAUCCUUACAAAAUGAAAAAAAAAGGACAGAUGCAAAAA
Gasterosteus aculeatus aculeatus (three-spined stickleback) is the source of this 1957-nucleotide long non-coding RNA. Lineage: Eukaryota; Metazoa; Chordata; Actinopteri; Perciformes; Gasterosteidae. The record is from Ensembl.